Molecule: long non-coding RNA, 1227 nt
Organism: Xiphophorus couchianus (Monterrey platyfish)
Lineage: Eukaryota; Metazoa; Chordata; Actinopteri; Cyprinodontiformes; Poeciliidae
Exons: 2
Source: RefSeq, a predicted model, not a curated record
ACAGCACACAAGCAUUGUUACAGCAACAUGACUGCUGACAGUUGGCAUUAAAUAUUAACGCAUGCGACUGAAAUGCGAUUCUGCAGCCGCUGAAUCCGAUUGUUUGGGAGACACCCAACACGUCCUGCCCAGAUUGCCAUAGUUAACAUGCUGUACAGACUGGGAGCCGCAUUAAACGAGCUGCGCUCCAAAAGCGGGCGAAUGAGUCACUGGCAGCUGGCGAGCGCAGCAUAAGAUACUGUGUCACGUUUCCUCUACGAAGCCUUUCAAGCAGCAGAAACAUGAAAAAAAAGAGAAAAAAACAGGAGAGCCACGGAGAGGAAGAGGAUGCUGUAUUAGGAGAGCAGAAGGAUGAUGGAAGCCCCACAAACGGACAUCAAAGGUGACAAAUUUCAGCUGUUUAUUGUUACUGGUCAUCAAUUGGAAAUAACCAAUUACUUUAAAGUAACUGGAUUAUUUGAAUUAAACCAGAAUUAAAGAUGAAUUACUAUUAUAGUUAUAGAUCUGGUUAUUACUCUUCAGUAAUUUGAAGGCGACAGAUAUCCAGCUCCAACCCUUCACCUUCAAACUCUUCUUCCUCAGAAAUGUCGGAGUUGGUGUUUCCUGAACAAUACGGCUCACAAAAUACGGUUGCAGUUCUCCAGUAGAACCAGUUCACUCUUCUCCAUCACUCCAUCUAGCUUCUACUUCCAAAAUUGCAAAUAAAUCACACAAAUCUUUGCUGAAAUCUUCAGUGUACUCAACCUUAGUCGUUUAUGGUUUGACUUACCCUGAACAGCGACACUUUGCAUUUAUAGUAUUCUGUGACAAAUAUUUAUCAUUAAAAGCGUUUGUGUAUACAGAAUGAAAGCACAGUAGGUCAUUUUAAAAAAAAUUUUUUAAGUGGUUUUAAUGUGUCAGUGACAGUUUAAUGUUGGCCUUCAGCAAUAUGAAACAGGGAAUUGGACAAGAUUAAAAGCUGAACUUUAAAUGAACUCAAAAGUGACCAAAAAUGACGUACAAGAAAUUUAUUAAGACCCACUAUUCAGUCAGAAUAGUUAGGAAUAUUAUUAAACCCUAAAAACAACAGAUGACUCAAAGCUAAAAAUGUUCAGAGAAAUUAUCUGGUGAACUGAAUCAGUUGCUAAUCAGCAGAGCUGUUCCUUAUUGGCAACUGGAUGAUCAGAAACCAAAUAAUCUCUGCAUUCAAAAGUUUUCAGAUUGUGGUAAUAAAGACACAUUGAUGCU